Molecule: ribosomal RNA, 357 nt
Filed under: Salmonella enterica subsp. enterica serovar Agona
Lineage: Bacteria; Pseudomonadati; Pseudomonadota; Gammaproteobacteria; Enterobacterales; Enterobacteriaceae
Description: partial 23S ribosomal RNA
Rfam family: Bacterial large subunit ribosomal RNA
Source: RNAcentral
CAUGCACCGAAGCUGCGGCAGCGACACUGUGUGUUGUUGGGUAGGGGAGCGUUCUGUAAGCCUGUGAAGGUGGCCUGUGAGGGUUGCUGGAGGUAUCAGAAGUGCGAAUGCUGACAUAAGUAACGAUAAAGCGGGUGAAAAGCCCGCUCGCCGGAAGACCAAGGGUUCCUGUCCAACGUUAAUCGGGGCAGGGUGAGUCGACCCCUAAGGCGAGGCCGAAAGGCGUAGUCGAUGGGAAACGGGUUAAUAUUCCCGUACUUGGUGUUACUGCGAAGGGGGGACGGAGAAGGCUAUGUUGGCCGGGCGACGGUUGUCCCGGUUUAAGCGUGUAGGUGUGUGUUCCAGGUAAAUCCGGUU